UUUGCCAUUAACUGAUGAUGUGGCAUCCACAUGAACAAUGACUGGGCGUCACGUGGAUAUUAAAAAAUAAUUUAAAAAAUUAAAAAAUUAUAUAAAAAAUUAAAAAAUUAUAAAUUUAGGCUUCUUCUGCCUCACCCCUUCUGACCCCUCCUUCAUUCUCUCCCCUGCACUUACCCUUCCCCCUCAUUUUUUGACUCCAC
Molecule: long non-coding RNA, 200 nt
Filed under: Malus domestica (apple)
Lineage: Eukaryota; Viridiplantae; Streptophyta; Magnoliopsida; Rosales; Rosaceae
Description: long non-coding RNA (MDOM_LNC009529)
Source: RNAcentral